UAUUGCGCAAUGGGCGAAAGCCUGACGCAGCGACGCCGCGUGGGGGAUGAAGGUCUUCGGAUUGUAAACCCCUCCCCGCGAGGGAAGAUGGAAUGGGGUAACCCAUUCGGACGGUACCUCCAGAAGCAGCCACGGCUAACUUCGUGCCAGCAGCCGCGGUAAUACGAAGGUGGCAAGCGUUAUUCGGAUUUACUGGGCGUACAGGGAGCGUAGGCGGUUUGGUAAGCCCUCUGUGAAAUCUCCAGGCUUAACCUGGAAAAGUCGGAGGGGACUGCUGGGCUAGAGGACGGGAGAGGAGCGCGGAAUUCCCGGUGUAGCGGUGAAAUGCGUAGAGAUCGGGAGGAAGGCCGGGGCGAAGGCGGCGCUCGGAUUCGUUUCUGACGCUGAGGCCGA
RNAcentral lists this ribosomal RNA (393 nucleotides) under uncultured bacterium. RNAcentral describes it as "bacterial SSU rRNA". It matches the Rfam family "Bacterial small subunit ribosomal RNA", at positions 362 to 756 of the family's 1533-position model. The record is from RNAcentral.